RNAcentral lists this ribosomal RNA (486 nucleotides) under uncultured bacterium. Its description in RNAcentral is "partial 16S ribosomal RNA". It matches the Rfam family "Bacterial small subunit ribosomal RNA", at positions 28 to 523 of the family's 1533-position model. The record is from RNAcentral.
GAUGAACGCUGGCGGCGUGCUUAACACAUGCAAGUCGAACGGAAAGGCCUCAGCUUGCUGGGGUACUCGAGUGGCGAACGGGUGAGUAACACGUGGGAGAUCUGCCCUGCACUUUGGGAUAAGCUUGGGAAACUGGGUCUAAUACCGAAUAUGACCACUUCUUGGAUGUUGUGGUGGAAAGCUUUUGCGGUGUGGGAUGAGCCUGCGGCCUAUCAGCUUGUUGGUGGGGUAAUGGCCUACCAAGGCGGCGACGGGUAUCCGGCGUGAGAGGGUGAACGGAGACAUUGGGACUGAGAUACGGCCCAGACUCCUACGGGAAGCAGCAGUGGGGAAUAUUGCACAAUGGGCGCAAGCCUGAUGCAGCGACGCCGCGUGGGGGAUGAAGGCCUUCGGGUUGUGAACUCCUUUCGCUAUCGACGAAGCCACUUGUGGUGACGGUAGGUAGAUAAGAAGCACCGGCUAACUACGUGCCAGCCGCCGCCGUAA